This 459-nucleotide long non-coding RNA is filed under the name Panax ginseng (ginseng). Its description in RNAcentral is "long non-coding RNA (PGIN_LNC003730)". The record is from RNAcentral. Lineage: Eukaryota; Viridiplantae; Streptophyta; Magnoliopsida; Apiales; Araliaceae.
GUAUGAUCACUGUUUAAUUUGAUGUUCAUUAAUUCUUUUAAUUAGUACUAGAUAAUAUCGAGCUUAAUUGCCAUGCACGCACCGAUGGACGACACCGAGUUUCAGUUGUGCCUCUCAGAUGGACCAGAUGGAGGGACAGGUACCCCCUUGGGUAAAAUACUGAAAACCAAGGCGCCUUGGAGAUUUGGUCGUUCAUCAUAAUUAUGCUUCUUCAAUUGCUCUGGUAUCAUGAUCAUGGCCGUUGAAGAAAUUUCCUCCACGACCCUCACUGGCCUAGUCGCCGCUAAUAGAAGGAAGAGGAGAGACAAAACACAGAAGAAGAGAUGCCAUGAAAAGCAGUACUCAUGUCUAUAUUUGGAAGAUAUUGAUGACACCAUAUUGUUCCCGCGCGCUAGCUAGCUAGCUAGAGAAGAAUUUUUACCUAGCUGGGGGCGGGGUGUUAUAUAUAUAUAUAUAUUA